UACGUAGGGUGCAAGCGUUGUCCGGAAUUAUUGGGCGUAAAGAGCUCGUAGGCGGUCUGUCGCGUCUGCUGUGAAAACUCGGGGCUUAACCCCGGGCCUGCAGUGGGUACGGGCAGACUAGAGUGCGGUAGGGGAGACUGGAAUUCCUGGUGUAGCGGUGAAAUGCGUAGAUAUCAGGAGGAACACCAAUGGCGAAGGCAGCUCGCUGGGACGGUACUGACGCUGAGGCGCGAAAGCGUGGGGAGCAAACAGG
This 253-nucleotide ribosomal RNA is filed under the name uncultured bacterium. Its description in RNAcentral is "partial 16S ribosomal RNA". It matches the Rfam family "Bacterial small subunit ribosomal RNA", at positions 524 to 776 of the family's 1533-position model. The record is from RNAcentral.